CAUGAUGACCACAAUGACCACGGUGACCACCAAGGUGACCACCAUGAUCAUGAUGACCACGAUGACCACGCUGACCACCAAGGUGACCAAGGUGACCACGCUGACCACCAUGGUGACCACCAUGACCACAAUGACCACCAGGCUGACCAAGGUGACCACGCUGACCACCAUGGUGACCAAGGUGACCACCAUGACCACCAGGCUGACCAUGGUGACAAAGGUGACCACCAAGGUGACCACCAUGACCAUGACCACCAUGACCACCAUGACCACCAAGGUGACCAAGGUGACCACGCUGACCAGGCUGAGCACCAAGGUGACCAAGGUGACCACGCUGACCACCAAGGUGACCACCAUGACCACAAUGACAACCAUGACCACCAUGACCACCAUGACCACCAAGGUGACCAAGGUGACCACGCUGACCACCAGGCUGACCAAGGUGACCAAGGUGACCACCAAGGUGACCAAGGUGACCACGGUGACGAGGAUGACCAGCAGGGUGACCAGCGGUGGUGGUACAGCCGGUGUCCGGACGUGGACGAGUGCAGGCUGGGCCUGGCUCGUUGUCACCCGCGCGCCCGUUGUCACAACAGCCCCGGCAGCUUCCAGUGCCGCUGCCAGCGCGGUUACCAUGGCGACGGCGUGGCCAGCUGUGAGCCCACGUGUUUCUCCGACUGCGGCCACGGAUUCUGCUCGGGACCCCCCAACUUCACCUGCGUUUGUCACCUGGGCUGGACCAACCCCAAACCCCAAAAUUCCUCCUCGGGGGGGUCCCAGGAGCCCCCCCAGUGCUCGGUGGAUUGCGGCUGCAACUUCCACAGCUCCUGCGAGCGCGGCGGCCCCGGGUUCUGCGACCGCUGCCAGAGUGAGCCCCAAAAAUUUACACCAAAAUCACAGCAAAAACGGCCCCAAAAUCACAGCAAAAUACACCAAACUGCCCCAAAAAUUCACACCAAAAUCACAGCAAAACGGCCCCAAAAACACAGCAAAAUACCCUAAACUGCCCCAAAAAUUUACACCAAAAUCACAGCAAAACGGCCCCAAAAACACAGCAAAAUACCCCAAACUGCCCCAAAAAUUCACACCAAAAUCACAGCAAAAUACCCUAAACUGCCCCAAAAAUUUACACCAAAAUCACAGCAAAAUACCCUAA
Long non-coding RNA from Cyanistes caeruleus (blue tit), 1156 nucleotides. Ensembl annotates it as mucin-5AC-like. NCBI's taxonomy places the organism in Eukaryota, Metazoa, Chordata, Aves, Passeriformes, Paridae. The record is from Ensembl.